AGCCAUGCAUGUCUCAGUCCAUGCCGCAUUAAGGUGAAACCGCGAAUGGCUCAUUAAAUCAGUUAUGGUUCCUUGGAUCAUGCAAAAAUUUACUUGGAUAACUGUGGUAAUUCUAGAGCUAAUACAUGCAAACCAGAGUUCCUCUCAGAGAUGAGAGGAAUGCUUUUAUUAGAUCAAAACCAAUCGGUGGCGGGUAGCAUUUUGCCGCUCGUCCAUCGUUUGCUUUGAUGACUCUGAAUAACUUUCUGCCGAUCGCAUGGUCUUUGUACCGGCGACGCAUCUUUCAAAUGUCUGCCUUAUCAACUGACGAUGGUAGGUUCUGCGCCUACCAUGGUUGUAACGGGUAACGGGGAAUCAGGGUUCGAUUCCGGAGAGGGAGCCUGAGAAACGGCUACCACAUCCAAGGAAGGCAGCAGGCGCGCAAAUUACCCACUCCCGGCACGGGGAGGUAGUGACGAAAAAUAACGAUACGGGACUCAUCCGAGGCCCCGUAAUCGGAAUGAGUACACUUUAAAUCCUUUAACAAGGAUCAAUUGGAGGGCAAGUCUGGUGCCAGCAGCCGCGGUAAUUCCAGCUCCAAUAGCGUAUAUUAAAGUUGUUGCGGUUAAAAAGCUCGUAGUUGAAUCUGUGUGCCACACUGUCGGUACACCGCUCGUCGGUGCUUACUGACACGAUGGGGGACGUCCUACCGGUGGGCUUAGCUUUGCCUUGUGCUUGGCGGUCCAACUUGAAAUCCCAUCGCG
This 743-nucleotide ribosomal RNA is filed under the name Episyron biguttatus. Its description in RNAcentral is "SSU rRNA". It matches the Rfam family "Eukaryotic small subunit ribosomal RNA", at positions 47 to 759 of the family's 1831-position model. The record is from RNAcentral. Lineage: Eukaryota; Metazoa; Arthropoda; Insecta; Hymenoptera; Pompilidae.